AGAAAUCAAUAGAUUUCAACAUUUUAAGGAUGGGUCGUGGUCAUGUGGGGACUUCCGCCGAUUGAGAGAGCACUGAACGGGAAAGGGCAAUCACCUUCCCGUGGUACUGCCAUCAUCGCUUAGCAAAUUAUUGUCACGUGAGUAGUGACACUGCUGCUCCAAAGAUCUAUGUCAGGACUUAUAUUGACAGGUUCCCCAUCCAAGUCUAAUGUCAUGCUACUGAGUACUGGCCCCAUUUGGUGUAAUAUCAGCACUGUCAUCUGGACUGUGCAUAGCAGAUGGAAGCGCAGGUGUGGGCCUGGCUGAUCUGAAUUCUGAACGGAUCUCCAUCUUGUACAGUAUUUCUGUUAUUAUCAUAAUCCUGUAUAUUCGUAUGUAUGCAAAUUUUGCUUUUAUAGAAGUUCAUGUAGGAGUUGGAUUUCUUUUUCCCUUUGGGCUUGUUGAUCUUUGCGCCUUAAGAAGAAUUCAAUGCAACUUACUGGAUAGUGUAUACUGCUACUGGAAAUUUCUGUUACAUUCUCCUUUGCUCAGGUGCCUCUUCCCUUUAUGCCCUUAACAAUUUCUUACCUUUAGCACCUAACUAAAUUUUAUAUUGCAUUUUGUUAUGUUGCUCUAACAUCAUUUUUUUGGAAAAAUAUUACAUACGCGUCUGGGUUUUAAAUCUAUGUUGCUUUUAGCUUGAUGUUUUUAAUUAAUCUUUUCUGCCUUAAACAGUUGGUAACCAAGUGUCCUUGAGGCUCUUACCGUAUGAUCUUGACAAUUUUUUUAUUAAAAUUUUAAUUUGCAUCAAUUGUGUCUUUGCACCAACAUGGCAAUGAGUAAGAAUAUUCUAGAAAUAACAACAAUCACUUUCAGCCCAAAUUUUCAUUAUCUAAUAACCUGCAGUUGUUUGUAUUUUGCAAACACAUUUUUCUCUUUCAUUUUGUAAAGAACUGUGCUAUUCAAUACUAUGCCUUUUCCUCUUUAAAAGCUUGCUGCACUUUUGUUGCUCACAAAUAAAUAUUGAUGUGAUUUUCCCUCUGUCAAGUCGUUCCUGUUACGAUUACCAAUUAGCCUAUUUUUUAGGUCUUGCUGUAUUUCUUAUCAACAACCCAAAGAUCUGUUCCCACACCCUGUUCUACAGAAAGAUAUGGAUAAUGGGAGGAAACAUAAAUACAGUUGGUUCAUAUUUAUUUUGUUAUGAUUUAACAACUUGAUAGCUACGGGUGGUUUCUGCUCCGAAGUGCAUUUGAACAUACGUUGGGUCCUUAUAGAGUCCUCCACUAGUCUACCAUCUGUCCAUGCCACAUCUGUUUCUUAAGGAAAGUACUGUUUAUGCAGAAAAGCUGGCUCUAUAACCACUAGCAGGGAUUGAAAGUAAUGGAAAACAAUGCAUUCAGAGGGCCAUUUAUCAGGUUGCUAGCCCUUUCUGGUGGACAAUGCUUGUUCAUGACCUUGAGGAGGCAGUGCCACAGUGGCUUCUUGGAAAGCAAGGAAAUCAAGUGGCUGAUUGCCUGAUGGAUGUAUCAUGGGCAUUUUGUUGGUCCAGUCUGAGUUGGCCCCCCUCUGCACCAGUUUGUGGGUCGGCCUCUGCUACCCAUUUUCCCAGGGGGGCCAUCUCUUAUAUCUGAUGCAUCCUCAUCUUGGUGGCUUUCAAUCUUGUGAUGGUUACUUCUAGAGCCCCACCAUCAUAGCAGUGACAUAUACUCACAUGUAUUCUUUCUUUGGUAGCCCAUCCAAUGCUGUGAGCCUGCAAUGAAACUGCUAGGUUGAACAUCAAAAGCAUAGAACAGUAGAAGCAAGGAGACGGGGGAGAGAACAAAAUCCCCAUGGAGAUAUUGCUUUGUUUGUUGAAGAGGCAGGCCUGGAUACAUCAACUUCACAGUUUUGUUGUUGACUGGACCCACACAGAUACAGAUGACACAUACGUACACAUCUCUGUUUGUCUCCCCUUCGAUCUCCUUCGCAACUUGAUGUUUGCUGAAACCUCCCACGCAUGCCUGCUGCCAGAUCCCGUGCAGUAAGUAGGGUUUCUGGAAGCCAUGGAAAAAAAGAAAAAACAAACAGCAAAAGGCCACACUCUGGGGAUGGAAGGAAGAUUGCCCGGGAAACAAGGGAUCUCUCCACUUCCUUCCUUUUCUUUGCACAGGUCAAUUCAAACCUGUCACUUUGUGCAAGUAGUACUAGGCUGCUGCUAGCAACUACUUUGGUUGUUUGGAUUCUGCAAGCAUAGCCUAAAAUCUCCUCAUCAUGUUGUUGUUAUGUACUGCCCCUGUCAUAUUAAGUUCUAAAACUCGUUAUUAGCUAUAGGAACUUUAUAUAUGAUGCGUCUUAUUCUGAUGGUUUUACAGUGCUGACCAGGUAUUGGGAGCAUACGGGCUUUGAUCCAUGUAGCUGUAGAUUGUCGUUGGUGUCUCCGGCUCUGGAUCUGGUUCCGGCCCGCAGUCGAGGUUCACGCCAAACAACCGGAGCCGCCGAGGCGGUGCUGCUGAUGCUGCACUGCAACUCCUGCUGUAUCUGUCACACUGAGAUUCUCCUGCAAUUGUUCAGCAGAAAUGGUGUAAGAGGUAUGACGAGAAAACUAAGUUACAGUGCUUUCUUCCAUUUGGUUUUCAGUCUUUUACCUGCAUGUUGCAUGUUGCUGUGAUCAUUGUCCACUGAGUGACGGUAGGCAUGGGAAUUGGCCGGGCUGGUUGGGUAUGAACCUGAUGUGCUAUAGCACAUUGGGCUCCAAGGCUGCUGCUCUCCGCCAGCACUCUGUGCAGGGGCCGCUACGCACACGGCGGGUGGAGAUGCAGCAGCUCCUGUUGCACUCUCACCGCGGCGCCUGUAGCUGAUGAACAGGCGGUCAGCCAUGCCAAAGCCUCGCAUCCUCUCAAAGUGCACUACGUCACCAGCAUCAAGUUGCUUCUCUUUGAUGUACCGGCUCCAGCCCUUGGUAAGCACGUAGCUCUGGCUGCUAGUCCAGUAUGAGUACCGGAACCUCCAUGGCUUGCCGGCCUCAUCCUCAAAGGACAGGAUCAGGCCCUUCUCACUGGAGUCGCCGCUGAGGGGAAAGUACCUCUCGGCAUGCUGCUUGGGGAUCACCAGUCUGUUGAGCUUGCCUACAUCGCUUGGCGUCAGGGGCUUCUCGAACAGGUACUCCUUCUCGUAGUUGUGUUGGUAGUGUAGGUUCGUGUACAUGGCUACACCCCAGGGCCAGGCCUGAGGGUGCUCCUGGGAGAGGUGAUUCAUGGCCGUUCUGCUUGCUGGAGGGGAAGAAAGAGUUUGGGGAGCGAACAAGUGUGUGUUAGGUUCCUGUCUGCAGCGAAAGCUUGCCGGUAGGGAGGAGUAGCAGUGAUGGUGUGUCGCGUAGAGAACCAUGCAGGUUUCUUGGUCCGGCAUUUAUAGCCUACCAAGGAGAACAUUGGGGGCGUCUAUGGGAUGCAGUAUUAAUAUUUCCCUGGUGGUACAUGAGCGAUGAGGUCUUGAUGCAUUUGAUCUUGGAGGCGGAGGGCAGGAGUUUUUAAUCUGGGCUAGACAGGAGGAAUCAAAGUGAAGGGCUUCAGAGGUGCUGAGGUUAGAAUAUGUAGUCUGAGCAUGGCUGAUGAGGGACGAUCAGGUGGUGGCACUUCAAAGUUGGAGCCUGGCCAUUGUGGACUAACCACAGCCAUCCAGGGAGGUGGAGAGGAGUAGGCCCUACCAUUGCUUUCCAUGUGCUUUGGUGGUUGGAGCCUACGUGAGACCACUGUCAUUAGCUCCGGAUUUUAACCUGCAAAGUCUAGGUUUUUCAGUUCAAUCUGCCUCUAGGACGGUGAAAGAAAGUGCUGGUUAGGAGCUGAAGCUUGUAGAUUCUGGAGGCACGAGGUACCCUAGGCUAGAUUAGGUGAAAAGAUGCAUCGAUAGAUUGGCAGCAGUUUUAUACCUGUGGUCCGCUUGAGAAUAGCUGGUGAGCAGUUACUGGUUCAGGGUACACUGAUCUCGCAGGAUGUGACACUUGAGGUGUAUGGGCCGUGUGCUCUAACUAUCACGCACUAUUUUGUACUAGUACCAGCCAUUUUCUGAUCUCAGAUUCAAUACAAUCAAGGGUUUUGUCAGGCCUGUCUCAUUGAAUAGGUGGCUGACCACCUAAUAUAGCUGCAAAAACUUCCAAGUAACAAACUGGUUCUAGUUGGAUUCUUACAAAAUUGAUUGAAUUGGCUGUAAGAUAUUGUUUUCUCAUUCAAACCAUCCUUGUAGGACAACCUGCCUCUGUUGAGGACACUGGGGGUACAAAUGCAAAGCGAGAAUUCUCUAUUCCCCCGUGUUAGCUGAUCUUUUGUAAGGAUUGGUGCUCUCAUGCAUUGGGCAUUUGGGGAGCACCUCUCGUUGCUGGAGGAUUGGGAUGCAGAACAGUAUAUGAUCUGUUUAUUUACAUUUUUAAUGACAGAUCUGUAUCAAACUCUGUAUAAUAUUAAGGACAAAAUCAGCAAUGUCGCUUUGCUUGGUACUUUGGAGACAGGUAUUCCAUCACAUGGUAACGGACGGAGUAGUACAUGGUUAGAUACAUUGUAUGCUGACUAAUAUAUGCCUUUGUUAAGCAUUAUUCAGUUUGUCAACCUUUGGGAAACCAGCGGGCCAUUAGGGCCCCUCGUUCUGUUAGUAGAUGCGGUCAAGAGUCCGGCCACAAUAGUGACUGAAUGGAUCUUCAAAGAUAAUCACUCCACCGAUUCCGUUACUUGGCUUUUUCCAACAUUUAGGUGACUUCCAUAUAUUUGGAAAUGACAGAUACAGUUUUUUUUUCUUAACUAGCUUUUUCUCUUUUGGAUCCAGGACCAGAGAAGCGGGAAUAUGCGAUUAUUAUCUCACGUGGCAUUAGUCUUAUCUGACCUGCUUUCUGUUCCUGGGGCUUCAAGUUCCCAAGCGCCAAAAUAUUCUAACAUUGGAAUUGGAAAUAGGAUCAAGAUUGAACCUGCACAAAGAUCUGCCUUCUCCAAUUUCUAAAAGCAUUUUGAAUCAGAUGGGUGCAGCUCGGCCUCGGCUGUACGUGCUCUUGGCGAUCUUCGAGGCUGACUAAAACUUUCUGCGCCACGCACGUCCACGACUGCCGCAUCUCUGCGCCGGCGAUCUUGAUCUCUCUGGAGCGAGACGAUCUGAAUUCUGAGGCCGAGCCGGGCCUUCUUCUUUCUUUCUCGCGCACUGAGGAGCGAGAUGUUGGGUGCUCAGCUGGUGACGAGACGGGGACGGGAAGGAAGGCGAUGAUGGGGGAGAGGAACUGGUAUGCUGGGCGGACGCCUUUUCUUGCCGUGGCAGGGGCUGCAGGGCGUCGUGCCGCUGCGUCAUCGUCUACCUUUUCUCGUACGUGUCAGCGUGGGAGGAGGAAGGAAGGCUUCUUCGGUGGCGCAGGAGCAGGGGGGACAAAGCGGACGCAACAAAGCGCCUGUGGCGAGGCGUGACCGUUUGAACAGUGUCUGAAUCGCUGUGCCUGUGUGGCUGUGCAUGACACUGUGAUAGUGUGUGAUGGGCUGAUGGCUAGUUGCUGCCUUUUGAGAAGUGCUCCGAGUCCCAGAGGCAGUUGGUUUGAGGUCGCCAACUCACUGAGUAAGGGUUGGUGUAGACAAUUGGGUUCUGUUAGACUCUGGUAGGUACGAGUCUGGGUUUUAGCUAUGCUCUGGAGCUCUGUUUCUGUUUGUAAGCCUAUCUGUCAGUGUGGAUUGUUUGGCCGGCUGGUUGGCGAGCUGGAUCGUGGAACGAGGGUGGAAGGGUGAAUUGACCUUUCUAACCCUUUCUGGGUGAGUGUUA
Molecule: long non-coding RNA, 5739 nt
Organism: Panicum virgatum (switchgrass)
Lineage: Eukaryota; Viridiplantae; Streptophyta; Magnoliopsida; Poales; Poaceae
Exons: 3
Source: RefSeq, a predicted model, not a curated record